GAUGAACGCUGGCGGCGUGCUUAACACAUGCAAGUCGAACGUGAGAGGGUAGCAAUAUCCUUGAAAGUGGCGCACGGGUGAGUAAUACGUAGGUAACCUGCCCUGGAGUGGGGGAUAACAGCUGGAAACGGCUGCUAACACCGCAUGAGACUGGACGAGUGGGAACUCGACUGGUAAAAACUCUGGUGCUUCAGGAGGGGCCUGCGGCCGAUUAGCUAGUUGGCGGGGUAAGAGCCCACCAAGGCAGUGAUCGGUAGCUGGUCUGAGAGGACGAUCAGCCACACGGGAACUGAGACACGGUCCCGACUCCUACGGGGGGCAGCAGUGAGGAAUAUUGGGCAAUGGGCGGAAGCCUGACCCAGCAACGCCGCGUGGAGGAAGACGGCCUCGGUUGUAACGUACCUUUUUGGGGUAAGGUAGCGAGGACGGUACCCCAACGAAUAAGUACACGGCUAACUACGUGCCAGCAGCCGCGGUAAACGUGUAGUCGU
Molecule: ribosomal RNA, 491 nt
Filed under: uncultured bacterium
Lineage: Bacteria
Description: bacterial SSU rRNA
Rfam family: Bacterial small subunit ribosomal RNA
Source: RNAcentral